GAUGAACGCUGGCGGCGUGCCUAAUACAUGCAAGUCGAGCGAACGGACGAGAAGCUUGCUUCUCUGAUGUUAGCGGCGGACGGGUGAGUAACACGUGGAUAACCUACCUAUAUGACUUGGAUAACUUCGGGAAACCGGAGCUCAUACCGGAUAAUAUUUUGAACCGCAUGGUUCAAAAGUGUAAGACGGUCUUGCUGUCACUUAUAGAUGGAUCCGCGCUGCAUUAGCUAGUUGGUAAGGUAACGGCUUACCAAGGCAACGAUGCAUAGCCGACCUGAGAGGGUGAUCGGCCACACUGGGACUGAGACACGGUCCAGACUCCUACGGGAGGCAGAAGUAGGGAAUCUUCCGCAAUGGGCGAAAGACUGACGGAGCAACGCCGCGUGAGUGAUGAAGGUCUUCGGAUCGUAAAACUCUGUUAUUAGGGAAGAACAUAUGUGUAAGUAACUGUGCACAUCUUGACGGUACAGAAGCAGAAAGCCAAGGCUAAAUACGUG
RNAcentral lists this ribosomal RNA (497 nucleotides) under uncultured bacterium. RNAcentral describes it as "partial 16S ribosomal RNA". It matches the Rfam family "Bacterial small subunit ribosomal RNA", at positions 28 to 507 of the family's 1533-position model. The record is from RNAcentral.